RNAcentral lists this ribosomal RNA (1383 nucleotides) under uncultured bacterium. RNAcentral describes it as "bacterial SSU rRNA". It matches the Rfam family "Bacterial small subunit ribosomal RNA", at positions 18 to 1396 of the family's 1533-position model. The record is from RNAcentral.
CCUGGCUCCCGUUGAGCGCUAGCUACAGGCUUAACACAUGCAAGUCGAGGGUCAGCAUGGUCUUAGCUUGCUAAGGCCGAUGGCGACCGGCGCACGGGUGAGUAACACGUAUCCAACCUGCCGUCUACUCUUGGACAGCCUUCUGAAAGGAAGAUUAAUACAAGAUGGCAUCAUGAGUCCGCAUGUUCACAUGAUUAAAGGUAUUCCGGUAGACGAUGGGGAUGCGUUCCAUUAGAUAGUAGGCGGGGUAACGGCCCACCUAGUCUUCGAUGGAUAGGGGUUCUGAGAGGAAGGUCCCCCACAUUGGAACUGAGACACGGUCCAAACUCCUACGGGAGGCAGCAGUGAGGAAUAUUGGUCAAUGGGCGAGAGCCUGAACCAGCCAAGUAGCGUGAAGGAUGACUGCCCUAUGGGUUGUAAACUUCUUUUAUAAAGGAAUAAAGUCGGGUAUGGAUACCCGUUUGCAUGUACUUUAUGAAUAAGGAUCGGCUAACUCCGUGCCAGCAGCCGCGGUAAUACGGAGGAUCCGAGCGUUAUCCGGAUUUAUUGGGUUUAAAGGGAGCGUAGAUGGAUGUUUAAGUCAGUUGUGAAAGUUUGCGGCUCAACCGUAAAAUUGCAGUUGAUACUGGAUAUCUUGAGUGCAGUUGAGGCAGGCGGAAUUCGUGGUGUAGCGGUGAAAUGCUUAGAUAUCACGAAGAACUCCGAUUGCGAAGGCAGCCUGCUAAGCUGCAACUGACAUUGAGGCUCGAAAGUGUGGGUAUCAAACAGGAUUAGAUACCCUGGUAGUCCACACGGUAAACGAUGAAUACUCGCUGUUUGCGAUAUACUGCAAGCGGCCAAGCGAAAGCGUUAAGUAUUCCACCUGGGGAGUACGCCGGCAACGGUGAAACUCAAAGGAAUUGACGGGGGCCCGCACAAGCGGAGGAACAUGUGGUUUAAUUCGAUGAUACGCGAGGAACCUUACCCGGGCUUAAAUUGCAGAUGAAUUACGGUGAAAGCCGUAAGCCGCAAGGCAUCUGUGAAGGUGCUGCAUGGUUGUCGUCAGCUCGUGCCGUGAGGUGUCGGCUUAAGUGCCAUAACGAGCGCAACCCUUGUUGUCAGUUACUAACAGGUUCCGCUGAGGACUCUGACAAGACUGCCAUCGUAAGAUGUGAGGAAGGUGGGGAUGACGUCAAAUCAGCACGGCCCUUACGUCCGGGGCUACACACGUGUUACAAUGGGGGGUACAGAGGGCCGCUACCACGCGAGUGGAUGCCAAUCCCCAAAACCUCUCUCAGUUCGGACUGGAGUCUGCAACCCGACUCCACGAAGCUGGAUUCGCUAGUAAUCGCGCAUCAGCCACGGCGCGGUGAAUACGUUCCCGGGCCUUGUACACACCGCCCG